Molecule: ribosomal RNA, 440 nt
Filed under: uncultured bacterium
Lineage: Bacteria
Description: partial 16S ribosomal RNA
Rfam family: Bacterial small subunit ribosomal RNA
Source: RNAcentral
CCUACGGGAGGCAGCAGUGGGGAAUAUUGCACAAUGGUGGGAACUCUGAUGCAGCAACGCCGCGUGAGUGAAGAAGUAUUUCGUUAUGUAAAGCUCUAUCAGCAGGGAAGAGAAUGACGGUACCUGACUAAGAAGCUCCGGCUAACUACGUGCCAGCAGCCGCGGUAAUACGUAGGGGGCGAGCGUUAUCCGGAUUUACUGGGUGUAAAGGGAGAGUAGGUGGCACAGCAAGUCUGAAGUGAAAGCCCAAAGCUUAACCACGGGAAGGCGUUAGAAACUGUGGAGCUGGAGUGCAGGAGAGGCAAGUGGAAUUCCUAGUGUAGCGGUGAAAUGCGUAGAUAUUAGGAGGAACACCAGUGGCGAAGGCGGCUUGCUGGACUGUAACUGACAUUGAGGCUCGAAAGCGUGGGGAGCAAACAGGAUUAGAUACCCUGGUAGUC